Molecule: transfer RNA, 73 nt
Filed under: Agrilus planipennis (emerald ash borer)
Lineage: Eukaryota; Metazoa; Arthropoda; Insecta; Coleoptera; Buprestidae
Rfam family: tRNA
About the family: Transfer RNA (tRNA) molecules are approximately 80 nucleotides in length. Their secondary structure includes four short double-helical elements and three loops (D, anti-codon, and T loops).
Source: Rfam by way of RNAcentral
CCUUUCGUAGCUCAGUUGUUAGAGCACUGGCGCGUGAAGCUAAAGGACCCGGGUUCGUUUCCCGGCGAGGGCG